RNAcentral lists this ribosomal RNA (492 nucleotides) under uncultured bacterium. RNAcentral describes it as "partial 16S ribosomal RNA". It matches the Rfam family "Bacterial small subunit ribosomal RNA", at positions 29 to 507 of the family's 1533-position model. The record is from RNAcentral.
AGUGAACGCUGGCGGUAGGCCUAACACAUGCAAGUCGAACGGCAGCACAGUAAGAGCUUGCUCUUACGGGUGGCGAGUGGCGGACGGGUGAGGAAUACAUCGGAAUCUACUUUUUCGUGGGGGAUAACGUAGGGAAACUUACGCUAAUACCGCAUACGACCUACGGGUGAAAUCAGGGGAUCUUCGGACCUUGCGCGAUUGAAUGAGCCGAUGUCGGAUUAGCUAGUUGGCGGGGUAAAGGCCCACCAAGGCGACGAUCCGUAGCUGGUCUGAGAGGAUGAUCAGCCACACUGGAACUGAGACACGGUCCAGACUCCUACGGGAGGCAGCAGUGGGGAAUAUUGGACAAUGGGCGCAAGCCUGAUCCAGCCAUACCGCGUGAGUGAAGAAGGCCUUCGGGUUGUAAAGCCCUUUUGUUGGGAAAGAAAAGCAGCAGGUUAAUACCCCGCUGUUCUGACGGUACCCAAAGAGUAAGCAACGGCUAACUUCGUG